This 382-nucleotide long non-coding RNA is filed under the name Phaseolus vulgaris (common bean). Its description in RNAcentral is "long non-coding RNA (PVUL_LNC001223)". The record is from RNAcentral. Lineage: Eukaryota; Viridiplantae; Streptophyta; Magnoliopsida; Fabales; Fabaceae.
CUUAAGCCAUGCAUGUCCCACGAUAUUACAGAAUUGAUAGCAAGAAUAUGAACGCAACUAAGUUCCAAGGUUUUCUUUAUAUUUUUUCAAGACGAUGAUGGGAUAAUACUGAUGUGCACACGCUACCACAAAUAAAACGAUAUGUGGGUGUGUGCAGAGCUAAAUUCCAUGUAUAAGAUGAUGAUAAGGUUAAGGUCUAACAAAAAAGUCUACCUCAUAUAUUUUCGCUCUGUUGUUUUAGUGUUCUCCAAGGAAUUCAAAUGGCAUGUGUAUUCUGUAUUUUUGUAGAACCACGUCAAUUUGAUAGUGCAUGAAAAUGACUCAACAAAAUUGGGCAAUAUCUACCAAAGCAAUAUGUUCAUGAAAAGAGGGAACACAGAGA